GACGACGCUGGCGGCGUGCCUAACACAUGCAAGUCGAGCGGAGUCGAUCGACGGAAGCCUUCGGGCGGAAGAUGGUUGACUUAGCGGCGGAUGGGUGAGUAACGCGUGGGCAACCUGCCUCGAAGACCGGGAUAACAGUCCGAAAGGGCUGCUAAUACCGGAUGUGGUCAAGGAUCCGCAUGGAUUUUUGAUUAAAGGGGAAACCCGUUUCGAGAUGGGCCCGCGUCCUAUCAGCUAGUUGGUGAGGUAAAAGCUCACCAAGGCGACGACGGGUAGCCGGCCUGAGAGGGUGACCGGCCACACUGGAACUGAGACACGGUCCAGACUCCUACGGGGGGCAGCAGUGGGGAAUCUUCCACAAUGGACGAAAGUCUGACCUAGCGACGCCGCGUGAGGGAAGAAGGCCUUCGGGUUGUAAACCUCUGUCAUGGGGGAAGAAGUAAGUGACGGUACCCCAAGAGGAAGCCCCUGCUAACUACGUG
Molecule: ribosomal RNA, 482 nt
Filed under: uncultured bacterium
Lineage: Bacteria
Description: bacterial SSU rRNA
Rfam family: Bacterial small subunit ribosomal RNA
Source: RNAcentral